CAGACCAAAAUCCCAAACAAGGAAAUGGUGGGGGAAUAAAACGACCAUAUUAUUUAUUUAAUGCAUGUUAUAAUUAAUAUUUUAUUUUAUUGUAAAUUAAGAAAUAUUUAUGGGUUCAAAUGGAUUACGACUUCAAAACAAAGCUCGCAGCCGAACGAGAGAAGGUAGAAGAUCUGUUCGAAUAUGAAGGUUGCAAAGUGGGUCGAGGCACCUACGGGCACGUUUAUAAAGCUAAGCGCAAAGACGGGGAAGAUGAGAAGGAAUAUGCACUGAAACAAAUUGAAGGCACUGGAAUAUCGAUGUCUGCUUGCAGGGAAAUCGCUCUGUUACGAGAACUGAAACACCCCAACGUGAUCGCCCUGCAGAAAGUGUUCCUGUCUCACAGUGACAGAAAGGUGUGGCUCCUCUUUGACUAUGCUGAGCACGACCUCUGGCACAUCAUCAAGUUCCACCGUGCCUCUAAGGCCAAUAAAAAGCCCAUACAGCUGCCGAGAGGCAUGGUCAAGUCUCUCCUGUAUCAGAUUCUGGACGGGAUCCAUUACCUCCAUGCCAACUGGGUGCUUCACAGGGAUCUGAAACCAGCCAACAUUCUGGUUAUGGGGGAGGGCUCAGAACGAGGGCGAGUGAAAAUCGCUGACAUGGGCUUCGCCAGACUCUUCAACUCUCCUCUCAAACCCCUGGCAGACCUUGACCCCGUUGUGGUGACAUUUUGGUACAGGGCCCCUGAGCUUCUGCUAGGGGCCAGACAUUACACCAAAGCAAUCGACAUUUGGGCGAUUGGCUGCAUCUUUGCGGAGCUGCUGACAUCGGAGCCCAUAUUCCACUGUCGCCAGGAGGACAUUAAGACCAGCAACCCCUUCCACCACGACCAGCUGGACAGGAUAUUCAGUGUCAUGGGCUUCCCAGCAGAUAAAGAUUGGGAAGACAUCAGGAAGAUGCCAGAGUUCCCCACCCUUCAGAAAGACUUCAGGAGAACGACGUAUGCAAAUAGCAGUCUAAUCAAAUACAUGGAGAAGCAUAAAGUCAAACCUGACAGCAAGGUUUUCCUGUUGCUCCAGAAACUCCUUACAAUGGACCCCACUAAAAGGAUUACGUCUGAACAGGCACUACAGGACCCAUAUUUCCUGGAGGAUCCCUUACCAACUUCAGAUGUAUUUGCCGGAUGUCAGAUACCUUACCCAAAACGAGAGUUUCUAAACGAGGAUGAGCCAGAUGAGAAAACAGAGAAGAACCAGGUCCAACAGCACCAGCAGACGACAGCCCAGGCCCAGGCCCAGCAGCAGAGUGGCACCCAGCAGGCUUCUAACCAGCAGAGCUCCACCCAGACCAACGGCAAUGCAGGGGCCACUGGAGCCAACUCCGGGGGAGGCCUACAGCACGGCCAGGACCAGGGGCCCCCCAACAAGAAAUCUCGCACCGGGCCCUCAGGAGCCUCCUCAGGCACUGGGAUCCACCAGCACUCCAGCUCCCGCCUUGGUUACCAAAGCAACAUCCAAGGUUCCACUCAGUCCCAGGGAUACUCGUCGUCAUCCCAGCAGAGCUCACAGUACUCACACCAGCCACACCGCUACUGAGGCUCUUAGAACAGGCCAGGGGCCUCUCCCAAACCAACCCUCGACCAAAAACAAACCUUAGCAUAACCUCUCACCUCCCUCUGGCCAAGGUAUUACUGACUCCUCAUCCUGAUCAGACCUCAUUAUGUGUCAGAUAAUUCCAACAACACAACAGUCACUCAUUAUCUACCUUCAUGUCAGCCCUACUACACUGACUGACCCUGGCCUCACUUCCAGCCAAUGUCCUCACACUUACCCACCCGAGGGCACUGCAAUAUGAAGGCCAACUCAACAUAGGAACCAAAAACAAACCCUGCCUCCUUGAGGGGUAGGACAAGAUUUUCUAUUAUCAUCAAGUGGCAAAAUCGAUUGAUACUAGAUAAGAAGGAAACACGUCAGGUGCAACUGACUACACAACACAAAGACUAUGAACCAUGACACUUACAAAAACAUGUUCUUCAAGAGGAAGAAUUGCAGCUCUGUUCAUAUAUAAAUAUAUACUAUAUAGUACCUUUUUUUAUUUGUUUAACAAGAGACUUGUUUUUGCUCGUUUGCUAUGUAGAGUUUGUUUACUUUGAUUGUGGAUGUUUUUGUAAAUAUUGUUCGAUAUAGAAGAAGAUGGGAGGAAACAGGAAAAUAGCCCUUUACUGUCAUCACUUUUCUUCACUGUACAGUUGUUUACCCUGGAUUUCUGGUACCAGAUAACAAUUGAAUCAAAAGGAAAAUGAGCCAAUCCUUUCCUGAUGACAAAAUAUCUUCUUCUGAGAUCUUCCCCUUGGCUUGGAAAUACAUUUGUACAGAAGAAAGUUAGCUCUUUAGCUGAUGUGAUUGCAGGGAAUUACAAAAUACACAAUUUUAUCUUAAUCUAGUUAUAAAAAACUUUUUUUUUCUCCAAUUUUAAGCCUUUUGUUUUUCUAGAUUUGUAGUCUGAAAGUCUGCAUUGGAAGGAACCGUUUAUCAGCCUUUCUUCAGUCUGCAGCAAGUUAUGUAAGCAUCUCUAGGUACCCCAUGUCACCUGACCGAUAACAACUACCAAGCUACUGUUUUACUAUGAGUCAUGUCCAUCAAGGAAACAUUUGUCGGUGAAUCUGAAUGUUCUCCUUUCUGGCCAGAGGUGUUUGAGUGUGUGUGAGAUGCUUGUUGUGGACACCUUGACAGGUCUUUCCAUGGACACAGACAUCACUGAAGGUGACAUCAUAUAGUGCAGCUAACAGUGUGUAUGUUCCUGAGACGGUUACUGCCUGAUAGUUUUUUAUUUUCCAUGUAUUUUUCUAGCCUUUAAUGUUUCAUUAUUGCCCUUUACAUGUUUGUAUUUCCUCUUAUUCAGUCAAAGGACUGCACUGCUGAACGGAUCUGCAAAGACCUGGAACAAAUAUGGGAAGUCUUGCACCCCAGCCUCUUCAACUCCACACCCCUGGUAUUAACCCAGGCACACAGGCCCAGUGGAUUAACAACAGCCUUCCCAGAACAGUGGUGUUUACUCGGGAACAAAACCAGCAGCUAUUGGACCUUUUUUCUCUCUUUUAUUCUAUUGGCGCAUAUCUGAAGUAUAGUUGAAGAGCAUUGAGAAUACAUUAGAUACUGUUUCUCAAUGUAUCUCUAAACAAGCGAGGUAUCAAAAGUAUUAUUCAUUGUGCGGCUCCAACAAGUGAUCGUGGGGCAAAUAACUGUUAAACAGUUCCUAUGCAAAAGCAAAGAGAAUGGUGCAAUGCUUAAAUUUUACUAUGAGAGAUUGAGAGUUUUCUUAGGGUUUUUAAAACGAUUGGGAUAUCCAUUUCCACAUCGUAAAUCUAAUGUUGAACAUCGUAAUUGAAGAAGGCAUUCACUUGUUUCUUACAGCAUUGUUAAUUGUACUCUAAAUGAAAUAUAAACUAUAUGGAUGGUAUAUGGUUGUUCCACGAGUGCCUUUUGCGUCCCUGGGAUAUUUUAUGUAGAAAUUGUGCACCAAUUUAGAAUUUUAAAAGCCUGCUAUAUUAAAUGAAGUGCCCUUUAAUAUAGACCACAUGUAGAAUUCAAUCCAAUCUGAUUAUUAUAUGAAUAAAGGCUUGCUAAUGUGCGAAAAUCCUGUAUUUUGACAGGUCCCUCAGUUAUCCCUGUGUCACUUAUAGGAAGAUUUCAAACCACUUAAUCCAAACAUUUCUCCAAGUUUCACCAUUAUUGUAAAGCCCUAGUUAUUUUGUUGCUUUGACAAAGUCAUUUCUGAAGAUGAUUAUUUAUUUCAUGUGAUUAGUUAUUCAUUUACGUCUAUCCCUCAUUUUACGGUCAACCCUGUUAUGUGAACUCAACUAUUUUUAAUGUGGUGAAACUAUUCCUUCUCAAAACAAACAUUGAACAUCUAAUAGUCAAAUCAUAGUGUAAAAUCAGGUGAGCUGGUUCUACUCUUUUUGGCCAUUUUCUGUUGUUUUGUGGUGGAAAACUGAGCUGUCGAGCAUAAAAGUGAACCCUGUUACCCGUAGAUAUACAGACUAGAAAUGUUUUAGCAAUUUUUAUUUUUUUGUGAAGCUUGCAUUUAAUUGCCACUCCACAUGCACACAACAUGAUUCCAUUCCCCCUGUCACGAUGGGAUUUAUGGCUGAUUUAAGAUUAAAUUGUCAACCAUG
This is an RNA transcript of Oncorhynchus kisutch (coho salmon), 4153 nucleotides long. It is a transcript of the gene named cyclin-dependent kinase 19-like, with no coding region annotated. The transcript has 14 exons. NCBI's taxonomy places the organism in Eukaryota, Metazoa, Chordata, Actinopteri, Salmoniformes, Salmonidae. The record is from RefSeq and is a predicted model, not a curated record.